This 482-nucleotide ribosomal RNA is filed under the name uncultured bacterium. RNAcentral's name for it is "partial 16S ribosomal RNA". It matches the Rfam family "Bacterial small subunit ribosomal RNA", at positions 30 to 507 of the family's 1533-position model. The record is from RNAcentral.
AUUGAACGCUGGCGGCAUGCUUUACACAUGCAAGUCGAACGGUAACAGGCCGCAAGGUGCUGACGAGUGGCGGACGGGUGAGUAAUGCAUCGGAACGUGCCCAGUCGUGGGGGAUAACUACUCGAAAGAGUAGCUAAUACCGCAUACGAUCUAUGGAUGAAAGCGGGGGACCGUAAGGCCUCGCGCGAUUGGAGCGGCCGAUGUCAGAUUAGGUAGUUGGUGGGGUAAAGGCUCACCAAGCCAACGAUCUGUAGCUGGUCUGAGAGGACGACCAGCCACACGGGGGCUGAGACACGGCCCAGACUCCUACGGGAGGCAGCAGUGGGGAAUUUUGGACAAUGGGCGCAAGCCUGAUCCAGCAAUGCCGCGUGCAGGAAGAAGGCCUUCGGGUUGUAAACUGCUUUUGUACGGAACGAAACGGCUCUGGUUAAUACCCGGGGCUAAUGACGGUACCGUAAGAAUAAGCACCGGCUAACUACGUG